Molecule: long non-coding RNA, 1723 nt
Organism: Onychostoma macrolepis
Lineage: Eukaryota; Metazoa; Chordata; Actinopteri; Cypriniformes; Cyprinidae
Exons: 4
Source: RefSeq, a predicted model, not a curated record
AUAUUUUCACAAUUUUGGGGGGAAUAAAAUGUUGUAUAUAAUCAAGCAAAUUAUAUAUGAACAAAUCCCUCUGUAAAAACCUUCAGGAUAUAGAAAGGAAUAAAAAUGUAAAGUUUGGUGUGUGUAAGUGCUACUGAAGUGGAAAUGUAUGGCUCAGUGUAGGAGAAAAAAAAAUCUCAUUUUGAGAAAACGGCCUUUAAAUAUAUGUAUUGUAAUUGAAAUCUAUUGACACAAAUAGAUAAAGUGCUAGAAAAGAAACAAUUAACAGUGUCUCUAGGAUGUUUUCUCUCCACUAAUCUGAAAAAAAAAAGCCCAAAAUCUCAAAUUUGACAGGUGGAUGAGAAAAACUGUUUUUGCCUGCAGUGUCUCCCUUUAAGACGUUUCAGCUGUUUACGGCGCUGCGUUGUCAUGGCGACGAAGCUGUUGUUACGGUCACGGACCUGCUACAAAUUGGACAAACCUUUACUGUGUAGAAGGUAACAAACCAAAGGAAGAGGACAGCAGCUUUGCUGUAUCAGUCGUGGUAAAUACAGGAACAUUCUUCAUGAAGAAGUGCGAGAGAAGCUUGCAAGGCAAGAUGAGGGGAAAAAAUUAAAGCCCAGUGUCAGUGAAGAUGGUGUGAUCGGGAAAUCUGGUGUUUGUAGGAAAUCUGAAGGAACAUCUCCCAGCAUUCUACUACGAUGUUGCCCUGAUAAUUGAGAGACUGUGGAAAGAUGGUGUGCAACUUCAUGACAUUUGAAGUCUACUGCUGAUGGAGAGCUUCUGGGACAUUGACAAACAGUAUUUCCCAGCAAUUUUAUUUGGAGUUCUAUAUUUUUUAUUAAUUUUAUUUAUUUAGUCAAACUUGCAUUCACUAAUGCUGGAGUAAGAUUUUAGAAGAAACCUUUCAGUCCUGUUUAAUGUUGGUGCUAGUAAAGGUUUGAGAAUGUAUGACCUGGUUUCACAGACAGGGCUUAGACUAAGCCAAGAUUAGGCCAUAGUUCAAUUAGGACAUUUAAGUAAUUUUCAUUAACAUGCCUUAGAAAAAACAUUACUGGUGUGCAUCUUGAGACAAAACAAAGGCACUGAUAUUUUUAAAGAUCAGUCAGUGCAAGUUUCUUUCAGUUGAAACAGCUCAGAAUUACAUUCGUUUCAAUUCAAAUGAGCUUUAUUGGCAUGACUUGCACAGUAUUGCCAAAGCAUAAUUAUAGAAUUACAUUUUAGUCUGGGCCUUGUCUGUGAAACCGGGGGUACCAUUAACACAGUUUGGUAAUGUUUUACAAUAAGGUCUCAUUUGUUGUACAUGGAAUGAUAAUUUUCUUGAUUUUGUUUUUGUUUUGUAUUAAGUGUGUGUGUUAGUAAUCCUAUACGUUAUGGAGACCAAAUGACUCCACAAGGAUAGUAAUACCACUAAAUGUUGACCUUGAGGACAUUUUUAGGUCCCCAAUGAGGAAACAGGUUUAUAUGGUAAACGUACCUGUUAAGCUCACCAAAAUCUACUUUGAGACAUUUUAGUGCACAAGAUAUUGGUUUCAGUACAAAAAGGUAUGUUAAAAUAAAAUAUUAAUCUCUCACACAAAAAUAUUUUAUUUUAAAUGACAAAAGCAUUUCAGAUUAAGAUUAAGAUAUACAUCAUUCAAUUCAAAAAGUCCGGCUAUGCUUAAUGGGUUCAUUUUUGUACCCUUUAAGCACAGCCCUGUUCCCAUUAAGCUCACAUUGUGUUUUAUUAAAAAUUCUUCUUUAU